Molecule: ribosomal RNA, 292 nt
Filed under: uncultured bacterium
Lineage: Bacteria
Also listed under: 1 other name
Description: partial 16S ribosomal RNA
Source: RNAcentral
GGACUACCGGGGUUUCUAAUCCUGUUUGAUCCCCACGCUUUCGUGCCUCAGUGUCAAUUCAGGCCUAGUGAACUGCCUUCGCAAUCGGUGUUCUAUUACAUAUCUAAGCAUUUCACCGCUACAUGUAAUAUUCCAUCCACCUCGACCUGAUUCAAGCUAAGCAGUAUCAAUGGCAGUUCCGCAGUUGAGCUGCGGUAUUUCACCACUGACUUACAAAGCCACCUACGCACCCUUUAAACCCAGUGAAUCCGGAUAACGCUUGCACCCUCCGUAUUACCGCGGCUGCUGGCAC